Phyllopteryx taeniolatus (common seadragon) is the source of this 5362-nucleotide long non-coding RNA. RefSeq lists it as uncharacterized. Lineage: Eukaryota; Metazoa; Chordata; Actinopteri; Syngnathiformes; Syngnathidae. The transcript is spliced from 3 exons. The record is from RefSeq and is a predicted model, not a curated record.
CACCGAGCUACAUACGCACAGUUUACACUGGAUCGGGAGGCAUUUUCUUGUCAGGCAGUAACAGAUUUUGUGCAAUUAUAUAUAAACUUCAUUAAACACGCAGAUUGACCCGGUGACAUUCGUGUAAAUAUAGACGUGUUAUUUUAAAUUUCUUAUUAAUCCAUUCAAAUAAGUCUCCCCCUUAACUCCCUGGAGCUGCUGCUACUUCAGCUUGCCUUGCACUGCCAGCUUUGGUGGCAUUGCUCAGGUUGUGAUCCUGUGUCAGAGGCCGCAUGUUGGUACAAGAGUUCACCCCGCAGCGUGUCUGACUGCAUAAUCCAGCCACUCUGUUCGGAGGAAAAAGCCUGCCCCCCACUGCACCCCGCCCCAAUCUGCUUGCCUGCUUUACACAUUCUAACACAAGCAUGCCAUGACUACAACAAAGGUGAGCAGAAGAUGGUAAUUAAAAAUUAAAGCAGACAAGAGGUGGCUGGAUACACCUCUUUUAACAGCAGUUCAACUGGAGUGGAGAAGAAAAAAACACAUGGAUAACAACCUCCUUUCACUGGCUCUCUUACCCUGACUAAUUAAGGACUAUCCCCCGCCGUCAAGGAUCGUUUGGUACAACUAGACCUACCGACCGACUUGGACACUCUCAUCAAGUGAUCGCCGUAAAAAUCGACAAAAGGCUUUUGGAUCACGAGCUGGACGGAGUUCGGCGGAGGGCUGCGUCACCGCGCACUUGGAGGACGAUCCUCGGUGACCAGCCAAACCAAGGCAGAUCCCCUGUUUCCAGUCUCAAACCACUGGGUAGCAUCACUACGGAAGAACCCAUGCAACUGGGGAGGUUCCAUCUCUCCCCUGAGGAAUGUCAACGCCGGCUGAGGGUAAGGCAGUGCUUCUACUGCGGGCAGUUGGGUCAUUCGUGAAAAACUGUCACGUCAAGGUUGCCGGUGCCAGAAGCAAGGGUACGGGAGAGGUGAGUCUGAAUUUCAUUAAGGAAGACCCUGCCCGGGUUCUUCCUAAAGUGACACUAUGCUCUCCUGAUCAAGAAAUUCAUACACCUGUAUUAAUUGACUGACGCAAACCUACUCAACUCCCUCCUCGUUAGACGGAUGCACCUUAGAACCUUUCAAAUAAAAUUCCGUCUGCAACAUAGUUUAACCGAGAGGCUGAACCAGGACCUGGGGACUGGGCUCUGAUGUCUCGCUGCACAGGAGCUACAAUCCUGGUCUCAGAAACUGGUUUGGGUCGAGUUUUCUCACAAUUCCCUCCCCUCUGCAUCCACUGGUCUAUCGCCUUUUCACGUUGUGCAUGGUUACCAACAAUCUCUGUUUACUGCCAUAGCCCCAGAAUCCAUUGACCUUGGUGAGACGCUGCAGGAACGAGUCCGCCAGAUGCCGCUGCGCCAGGGACGGUCCUACAAAACCGCAGCUGAACGUAGGAGGACACCGGCCCCGAACUACAAAGUGGGUCAGCGAGUUUGGCUCUCUACCAAACAUAUUCCACUCCGGGUGGAGUCCAAGAAGCUUGCUCCCAGGUUCGUGGGGCCCUUCCCCAUCACAAAGAUCAUCAACCCGGUCACCAUGAAGCUUUGGCUCCCAAGGUCACUGUGGGUCCACCCUGCUUUUCACGUCAGCCUGCUCAAGCUCGCCUGGGAGUCUCCUCUGGUCCCGCCUUCCAAGACCCCACCUCCUCCCCGGUUCGUGGAUGGGGGCCCUGUCUUCACUAUGAGGCGACUGUUGUCGUCUCGUCGGAGAGGGAGUGGAUUUCAAUAGUUGGUCGACUGGGAGGGCUAUGGGCCUGAGGAACGUUCAAGGGUGCAUUUAUUGUGGAUGACUCACUCAUUGGGGACUUCCAUGUUGCGCAUCCUGGGGCUACGGGGCCGUCUGGGGCCGGCCGUUAAGGGGCGGGUACGGUCAUUAAAAUUACGUAAUAGACAUGUUAACCUAUGACUAUUGAAUCAACAUUUUACAAAAAACAUCUAUGUUUUUUUUCUACAUUUUAAAGUGUGCUGAUAACCACCAAUUCAUAUUAACUCUUCCUUGUCAGGACUCCCAAAUCCUGAUGUAUGGCUGGCUGGAUAGAUGGAUAUAUGGAUACCGUCCACAUCAAACUAAAAGCACCACUUUCAAAAUAAAAACACAGCAUAUUUUACUUUUUUAUUUUGACUUCAUAAACACUGUGAGGACCUAUAAGAGACUGUGGACGGGCCGGAUGUGGCCCACGGGCCGUACUUUGCCCCAGUAUGCCCUAACCUCAGAAUUGUGAGGCGGACGAGGUAAUUAUUUUUUAAUUACACAAAUCUUUCCUUUUCAGGGUUCAAGUUUGAUUUUUCUCCCUGUGCUUGUGUGGGUAUUCUGGGGGUACUGUGAUUUGCCCCCACAUUCCAAAAACAUGAAUGUUAACUGCCAUCUAAAAUGCCUAUAGGUAACAAUGUGAGUGUAAAUGAGUGUCAAAAUCUGCCCUAUGAUUGAUUGGUGGGGUGGGGGGAGUGGUUUAGUUAAGAAAUGGUUGAUAAGAUGUAUUUUUAUUUUAUUACAUUACAUUUUAUGAUUUUAUUUCUGAUACAGUAUUGUGACCAUUUAAAUGGUAGCUAAAUUGUUAAGAAUGAAUGCCACACUAAAUAAGUACAGUAAACCAAACAGCAUACCGUGCAUUGGUCAGAUUGAUGUCCCUAAAACAUCCGUUUAUAUACACUCCAAAACCUAUCCAAACGAAACUCUGCCACUCAAACUCAGCUGUAUCACAGUCACACUUACUGAGCAUACUAAACACUACUUUUAGUGCACUCAAUACCAUCAGCCUGGAUUUAUGCAAUGACACAAAAAGCCACACACUAUCAUGUGAGAUUUUCCCAUAUAGCCAGUGACCCCAGAACUGGGCCAAUCAAAGCCAGCCUUUUUAUGUCCCUUUGAUUUUUUUUUUUUUCUUUCAUCUUGUCGCUGAUCCCGUUGCAGCUUUUAGAUAAUGCUAAUAGAUCACAGGCCAACAGGACAGAGCAGGAUAAUGGAGCUUUCAUUGCAGCCUGAUUAACUUGGCUGUAGGGUUCCACCUCAACCCUUUCGGCAUGAUGGCUCUAAUUAAUAACGAUUGCUCCCCAAAAUGUGCAAAUGGAACGAUAAACGGAGGGCCAACUAAUUAACUGCAACCAUUUCUACUAAUCAUUAGUUAACAUCCCGUUUUGUCAUCAUUACGCUGGUGCGUGUGCAAGGGCAGAUAAAACAGGUCAGCCCUUUUUUUCUGCCACACCAUAAAGCUCGACAGCCAUAUUUUCCUCCCACAAUAAAAAGACUAACAAGUAAUUAAAGUGAGGGCUGAAGAAAGGUUUGGAAAGUUUCUGUCUCUUAAAUAUCCCCACUGUAGGCGAAGCGUCACCAUUUUCUUAAGGUAGUUGCUAAAAACAUCCUGUUUUCAGAUGAGACUGUUUAUUUCCAGUCAACAGCUGAUAGAUUUAGAAAUAAAGCAGGAAAUUACCAAAACAACUUCAAGACGGACUCUCAGCACUCUGCAUCAUUUGCUGUAGUGUUCCAACUCAUUUAUUUUUGCUAGCAAGGAAAUCACUGUCAGUGAAAUGCUUGGGUUUUUUUUAUUCUUUUUUGUCCUUUGCUAAAAAAUAAGCAGAGGGAGUAUUUCAAACUCCCAUUGCACACUAAAACAGCACAAAAGGCAUACAGAUCCACCAUUCUGCAUGGCCAUGGAGCUGAACACUACACGUUAAAAAAAACAAAAACAUCUGGAAAUUGCACCCAAGGAUGAACCAGACUUGUGCAAGUCCACAAUUCUCUUACUGAAAUAGAGAGAUAAUUUAUUUAUUUUGCCCUUCCCAUUAUGUUACACAAAGAAGCAGUGCGUUUCAGGUGUGCCUAGUUCAAAUACAUCCUCAGGCGUGUCUCUAAUUCACUCAAAUGUUUUCAAUAAACCUAUCAGAGGCUUCCAAAUAAAUGAAAUCAUCAUAUGGGUUUUCCCAAAUUGUUUAAAGGCAUAGUAAUCAUACUGUAUGUAAACUUCUGACUUUGACGAACAUAAUGAAAAAUUGUCUAAAAAAACAUUCUCUCAUUAUUCUGACAUUUAGCAAGAAGAAAUAAUUUUGGUAAUGCUAAUUGACCUAAAACAGGAAACGUUUAGUCUGAUUUCAUGUCAGACAGGGAGAAAAAAAAAGCACAUUUGUCUUUUUAUAUAGUUCAUGUAAACGUCUGGUUUCAACUGUAUAUCAUGAUAUAAUCCUUAUUGUUUUAAGAAUGACAUUGUUUUAAACUGGGUGAUUUCCAUUGCUAUUGGUGUAUCAUACAGGAAUAAAAUAGACAAAAUAUAAAGGUGCUCUCUUACUGAUUAUAAUCAAAAACAAUUUAAUGAACGGCGGCACUGUGAAUAAAUGGUUAGCACAUCCGCCAUGUGUGGAGUUUGCAUGUUCUCCCCGUGCAUGCGUGAGUUUUCUCCGGGUGCUCCAGUUUCCUCCCACAUCCCAAAAACAUGCAGGGUAGGUUAAUUGAAGACUCUAAAUUGCCCGGAGAUGCGAGUGUGAGUGUGAAUGGUUGUUUGUUUAUAUGUGCCCUGCAAUUGGCUGGCGACCAGUUCAGAGUGUACCCCCCUUCUCACCCGAAGAUAGCUGGAAUAGGCUCCAGCAAACCUGUGACCCUAGUGAGGAUAAGCGGUCUUUGGAGAUGUAGCUGUGUUCAGAAUUAACCAGUCACAUUUAAACUCGUGUUAAAUGGGAGUCGGCACACAUUUAAAGUGCCUCUGAUUAAGGCAAAAAAAAUUCAUGUUUCAGUAGGUUUUACCAUCUUUAUUUUUUUUUAAACUUUUGAAUUAUUAUUUUCUAGCAAAGGCCUGAAAGCUUUUUUCCAACAUUGACUGGUAUUUGGAACUGUUCAUAAUUCCCUCCACCUUGACUAAGGCCCCAAUUGCAGCUGAAGAAAAACAGGCCCAAAGCAUGAUGCUGCAACUAUCUGUUAGUAUGGUGUUCUUGUGGUGAUGAGCAGUGAUGUUUGUGCCAAACAUGUAAUCAUCACCAAAAGUUAAAACUUGGUUUCAAAACUCAGGGAGAUCGUAGUGAAGGUGUUGUUCCCUACUCGCACACACUGAGGUCUGUGCAUAAUGAAAUCUAACAGCCAGUUGCACAGGUCAGUCUGGUGGCCAUCCAGGGCACCCGAGGUGAGGUGCUUGGCUGAGCGGUUCAGGAGGUCGUCCAGGACGCCAAGCACCAGGGUCUUUACAGGGCCAUUCAGGCGGACGGCCACGGUGCCGAACCCAAUGGUAAUGCAGGGGCUAGGCAAUAGGGUUGGGUGGCGACCGCUGGACGAGCGCCGCCGGAGCAAGGACGGGUGGCGGCCGCUGGACGAGCGUCGCCGGAGCGGGGACGGGUGGCGGCCGCUGGACGAGC